GGGGGUUGGGCGAUAUUACAUACAGUACCUCCGCAAACUCAUUAGUGUACACAAUAAUAUUCUGUACACGACAUACCAUUCUUACAGUCAGCGUACAGGACAGUGGAAAGCUGCUGGCAUUCCCAGCUGUGUUGAACUUAUCGUGGGUCAAUGAUUCAUCAUCAACGUCAUGUACUCCGUCUCUACCUGUACAGUGUAGGUAGGAAUGGCAUUUGGAGGGCAACUCACUUCCUUAUUCCCCAUUCAAAUAUCAACUUCAUUCUAGCAGAUGAAAUCCAAAGCCAAAGUCAGUGAGUAAGAAAGAAUGUUGUCUACUAUGUAUAUAGCACGCUUCCGAAGGAAGACUUGGGGAGUUUGACCCUCCAGGUCGAUGUGAAAGUAAACAGAUGCCCUUCUUAUAUUAUGCAACCCUCUGGUUUAACUACACAUUUUUAAACGGAAAGAAGAUAGUUGGGAAUACUGAGGGGAUGUAUUAGACUCUGCUGCCAUGAGUUAAACAAUCAAACUGACC
RNAcentral lists this small RNA (511 nucleotides) under Histoplasma capsulatum. RNAcentral's name for it is "hypothetical RNA". Lineage: Eukaryota; Fungi; Ascomycota; Eurotiomycetes; Onygenales; Ajellomycetaceae. The record is from RNAcentral. RNAcentral also lists the same sequence under 1 other name.